This 253-nucleotide ribosomal RNA is filed under the name uncultured bacterium. Its description in RNAcentral is "partial 16S ribosomal RNA". It matches the Rfam family "Bacterial small subunit ribosomal RNA", at positions 524 to 776 of the family's 1533-position model. The record is from RNAcentral.
UACGUAGGGUGCAAGCGUUGUCCGGAAUUAUUGGGCGUAAAGAGCCCGUAGGCGGUCUGUCGCGUCGGCUGUGAAAUCCCGAGGCUCGACCUCGGGUCUGCAGUCGAUACGGGCAAACUGGAGUGUUGCAGGGGAGACUGGAAUUCCUGGUGUAGCGGUGAAAUGCGCAGAUAUCAGGAGGAACACCGGUGGCGAAGGCGGUUCUCUGGGCAUGAUCUGACGCUGAGGAGCGAAAGUGUGGGGAGCGAACAGG